This 630-nucleotide transfer RNA is filed under the name uncultured Prochlorococcus sp. RNAcentral describes it as "partial 16S-23S ribosomal RNA intergenic spacer". The stretch from base 240 to 312 matches the Rfam family "tRNA". The record is from RNAcentral. Lineage: Bacteria; Bacillati; Cyanobacteriota; Cyanophyceae; Synechococcales; Prochlorococcaceae.
UAUGAUGUCUGAUUUAUAAAUUUAGGCCGUAAUCCUGUCACCUUAGGUCGAUCGGUACCUCAGAUUAUUAACUGUUAAAUUGAGAAAUCAUUUAUCAUUAGUCUUUUAAUUUCAGUUCCUAAACUUGUCUAGGUCACACCCAACAAACUUUCUCCUGGGCUAUUAGCUCAGGCGGUUAGAGCGCACCCCUGAUAAGGGUGAGGUCCCUGGUUCAAGUCCAGGAUGGCCCAUUCGUUGUUGGGGGUAUAGCUCAGUUGGUAGAGCGCCUGCUUUGCAAGCAGGAUGUCAGCGGUUCGAGUCCGCUUACCUCCACUGAUCAACUACCUGAUAACUCAAAUUGGAGAUUGUUAUUUGUUAAAUGUGAUUUAGAUGUUGUUCAACUGAAUGAACCUAGCUUCCUAUCACUCCUUAAUUAAUUUUAGGCUGAUAAGACGCUGGGCUCACUGAAUGUUCUAAGGGACAUUCAGUUUGUUUCAGCAGAACCUUGACAACUGCAUAGGAAAAUCUAGAAAAAUAAAGCAUCUCAUAGAUGCAUAGAAGUUUUUCAUUUUUUAAUGAUUAGAUUUUUAUGUUCAAUUCUUGAGUUAGAGCAAAUUUUCUAUUGCUUAAGUUCACUUAUAUAGAUUUAAG